Molecule: microRNA precursor, 46 nt
Filed under: Notamacropus eugenii (tammar wallaby)
Lineage: Eukaryota; Metazoa; Chordata; Mammalia; Diprotodontia; Macropodidae
Description: miRNA (ENSMEUG00000016886.1)
Source: RNAcentral
GUCGCGGCCGUGGCAGGGCUGGGCUGGGCUCUGCAUCUGCAGCGCG